This 482-nucleotide ribosomal RNA is filed under the name uncultured bacterium. Its description in RNAcentral is "bacterial SSU rRNA". It matches the Rfam family "Bacterial small subunit ribosomal RNA", at positions 30 to 506 of the family's 1533-position model. The record is from RNAcentral.
UUGAACGCUGGCGGCAUGCCUUACACAUGCAAGUCGAACGGCAGCACGGGGGCAACCCUGGUGGCGAGUGGCGAACGGGUGAGUAAUGCAUCGGAACGUGCCCUGGAGUGGGGGAUAACGUAGCGAAAGUUACGCUAAUACCGCAUAUUCUGUGAGCAGAAAAGCAGGGGAUCUUCGGACCUUGUGCUUUGGGAGCGGCCGAUGUCGGAUUAGCUAGUUGGUGAGGUAAAGGCUCACCAAGGCGACGAUCCGUAGCGGGUCUGAGAGGAUGAUCCGCCACACUGGAACUGAGACACGGUCCAGACUCCUACGGGAGGCAGCAGUGGGGAAUUUUGGACAAUGGGCGCAAGCCUGAUCCAGCCAUGCCGCGUGGGUGAAGAAGGCCUUCGGGUUGUAAAGCUCUUUCGGCGGGGAAGAAAUAGCGUGGGUUAAUACCCUGCGUUGAUGACGGUACCCGCAUAAGAAGCACCGGCUAACUACGU